RNAcentral lists this ribosomal RNA (468 nucleotides) under uncultured bacterium. RNAcentral's name for it is "partial 16S ribosomal RNA". It matches the Rfam family "Bacterial small subunit ribosomal RNA", at positions 28 to 507 of the family's 1533-position model. The record is from RNAcentral.
GACGAACGCUGGCGGCGUGCUUAACACAUGCAAGUCGAACGGAAAGGCCCUGCUUUUGUGGGGUGCUCGAGUGGCGAACGGGUGAGUAUCACGUGAGUAACCUGCCCUUGACUUUGGGAUAACUUCAGGAAACUGGGGCUAAUACCGGAUAGGAGCUCCUGCUGCAUGGUGGGGGUUGGAAAGUUUCGGCGGUUGGGGAUGGACUCGCGGCUUAUCAGCUUGUUGGUGGGGUAGUGGCUUACCAAGGCUUCGACGGGUAGCCGGCCUGAGAGGGUGACCGGCCACAUUGGGACUGAGAUACGGCCCAGACUCCUACGGGAGGCAGCAGUGGGGAAUAUUGCACAAUGGGCGGAAGCCUGAUGCAGCAACGCCGCGUGCGGGAUGACGGCCUUCGGGUUGUAAACCGCUUUCGCCUGUGACGAAGCGUGAGUGGCGGUAAUGGGUAAAGAAGCACCGGCUAACUACGUG